RNAcentral lists this ribosomal RNA (300 nucleotides) under uncultured Desulfovibrio sp. Its description in RNAcentral is "bacterial SSU rRNA". It matches the Rfam family "Bacterial small subunit ribosomal RNA", at positions 495 to 795 of the family's 1533-position model. Lineage: Bacteria; Pseudomonadati; Thermodesulfobacteriota; Desulfovibrionia; Desulfovibrionales; Desulfovibrionaceae. The record is from RNAcentral.
AGGUAACUGCGUGGCAGCGGUGUCGGUAAUACGUAGGGUGGUUGCGUGAUGCGGGUUUACUGGGCGUAAAGGGUGCGUAGGUGGUCCUUCAAGUCGGUGGUUAAAGGCUACGGCUCAACCGUAUUAAGCCGCCGAAACUGGAAGACUUGAGUGCAGGAGAGGAAAGUGGAAUUCUCAGUGUAGCGGUGAAAUGCGUAGAUAUUGAGAAGAACACCAGUAGCGAAGGCGGCUUUCUGGACUGUAACUGACACUGAGGCACGAAAGCGUGGGUAGCAAACAGGAUUAGAUACCCCAGUAGUC